This 506-nucleotide ribosomal RNA is filed under the name uncultured bacterium. Its description in RNAcentral is "partial 16S ribosomal RNA". It matches the Rfam family "Bacterial small subunit ribosomal RNA", at positions 29 to 523 of the family's 1533-position model. The record is from RNAcentral.
AUUGAACGCUGGCGGCAGGCCUAACACAUGCAAGUCGAACGGCAGCACAGAAGAGCUUGCUCUUUGGGUGGCGAGUGGCGGACGGGUGAGUAAUGUCUGGGAAACUGCCCGAUGGAGGGGGAUAACUACUGGAAACGGUAGCUAAUACCGCAUAACGUCGCGAGACCAAAGUGGGGGACCUUCGGGCCUCACACCAUCGGAUGUGCCCAGAUGGGAUUAGCCAGUAGGUGGGGUAAUGGCUCACCUAGGCGACGAUCCCUAGCUGGUCUGAGAGGAUGCCACGCCACACUGGAACUGAGACACGGUCCAGACUCCUACGGGAGGCAGCAGUGGGGAAUAUUGCACAAUGGGCGCAAGCCUGAUGCAGCCAUGCCGCGUGUAUGAAGAAGGCCUUCGGGUUGUAAAGUACUUUCAGCGGGGAGGAAGGCGGUGAGGUUAAUAACCUCGCCGAUUGACGUUACCCGCAGAAGAAGCACCGGCUAACUCCGUGCCAGCCGCCGCAGUAA